Molecule: ribosomal RNA, 253 nt
Filed under: uncultured bacterium
Lineage: Bacteria
Description: partial 16S ribosomal RNA
Rfam family: Bacterial small subunit ribosomal RNA
Source: RNAcentral
UACGGAGGGUGCAAGCGUUAUCCGGAUUCACUGGGUUUAAAGGGUGCGUAGGUGGGCAAGUAAGUCAGUGGUGAAAUCUCCGGGCUUAACCCGGAAACUGCCAUUGAUACUAUUUGUCUUGAAUACUGUGGAGGUCAGCGGAAUAUGUCAUGUAGCGGUGAAAUGCUUAGAUAUGACAUAGAACACCAAUUGCGAAGGCAGCUGGCUACACAAAUAUUGACACUGAGGCACGAAAGCGUGGGGAUCAAACAUG